RNAcentral lists this ribosomal RNA (772 nucleotides) under uncultured Neocallimastigales. RNAcentral describes it as "partial large subunit ribosomal RNA". It matches the Rfam family "Eukaryotic large subunit ribosomal RNA", at positions 23 to 645 of the family's 3401-position model. The record is from RNAcentral. Lineage: Eukaryota; Fungi; Neocallimastigomycota; Neocallimastigomycetes; Neocallimastigales.
AGAGAGAGACAUGCGCGCAUAUCAAUAAGCGGAGGAAAAGAAACUAACUAGGAUUCCCUCAGUAACGGCGAGUGAAGCGGGAAGAGCUCAAAUUUGAAAUCUUCAAGGUUCUACCUUGACGAAUUGUAGUUUAAAGAAGUGUUUUCUGUUGGAGUUUUGGUAAAAGUUCUUUGGAAUAGGACAUCAUAGAGGGUGAGAAUCCCGUAUUUGACCAUUAUUUCCAGCUUUGUGAUACACUUUCAAAGAGUCGGAUUGUUCGGGAAUGCAGUCCAAAAUGGGUGGUAAAUUUCAUCUAAAGCUAAAUAUUGGCGAGAGACCGAUAGCGAACAAGUACCGUGAGGGAAGGAUGAAAAGAACUUUGAAAAGAGAGUUAAACAGUACGUGAAAUUGUCAAAAGGGAAGCGUUUGACACCAGUGUUGUUUUCUCGAAAAUCAAUUAAAAAAGGCAGGAUUUUGUGUUGUAUUGACUUUAUCAGCUUUCUGCACUCUUUUCUUGUCUUUUUUAAUGCACUUUUCGUUUAACAAGUCAACAUCAAUUUCUUUUGUUGUAAAAGGGUCAUUGGAAGGUGGCUUUCUUUUCGGAGAAAGUGUUUAUAGCCUUUGCCUCUGCAAUCGGAGAGAUUGAGGUCUGCAGCGUAGAUCCUUCGGGGUUAGAUACAUUUGUGCUAAGUUAUAGCCUUUCAUAGACAACUUGUUGACUAUGAUCAGUCAUGUAGCUUACUCGCUUAUGCUAUUUUACCUACGCUUAGGAUGUUGAUGUGAUACUGCGAGC